GGGGGCUUGGCGCAGCUGGGAGCGCGUCUGACUGGCAGUCAGAAGGUCAGGGGUUCAAGUCCCCUAGUCUCCACCA
RNAcentral lists this transfer RNA (76 nucleotides) under Eubacterium sp. RNAcentral describes it as "tRNA-Ala". It matches the Rfam family "tRNA". Rfam says of the family: Transfer RNA (tRNA) molecules are approximately 80 nucleotides in length. Their secondary structure includes four short double-helical elements and three loops (D, anti-codon, and T loops). The record is from RNAcentral. Lineage: Bacteria; Bacillati; Bacillota; Clostridia; Eubacteriales; Eubacteriaceae.